ACACGUAGGGGCCUGACGUUGUUCGGAAUCAUUGGGCGUAAAGGGCGCGCAGGCGGCCGUCCAAGUCCGGUGUUAAAUGGUCGGGCUCAACCCGAUCAUGCGCUGGAAACUGGGCGGCUUGAGUCCCGUAGGGGAUGCCGGAAUUCCAGGUGUAGGGGUGAAAUCUGUAGAUAUCUGGAAGAACACCGAUGGCGAAGGCAGGCAUCUGGCGGGGGAAUGUCGCUGAUGCGCGCAGGCGCGGGGAGCGCCCAGGUUUAGAUGCCCUGGUAGGCCGCGCAGUAAGCGAUGCGCACCAGGCGUAGGGAGGCAGCGCCCGGUACCGGAGGGAAAGUGAUGAGUGCGCCCGCUGGGGAGUAUGGCCUCAAGGGUGAUACUCAAAGGACUUGUCGGGA
Molecule: ribosomal RNA, 392 nt
Filed under: uncultured bacterium
Lineage: Bacteria
Description: partial 16S ribosomal RNA
Rfam family: Bacterial small subunit ribosomal RNA
Source: RNAcentral